This is a long non-coding RNA of Ostrea edulis (European flat oyster), 477 nucleotides long. RefSeq lists it as uncharacterized. NCBI's taxonomy places the organism in Eukaryota, Metazoa, Mollusca, Bivalvia, Ostreida, Ostreidae. The record is from RefSeq and is a predicted model, not a curated record. The transcript is spliced from 2 exons.
GCCAAUCACUAGAUCUGUUCAUAACACUAGUAUUACUAAUCGAGAAGACGGAUUUCAAAUUGACAUAUCCUUUGCACAAACGUGAAUGACAACGAUGAUAAUGUCACCACCAAACAAUCGGACAUUCCCGAUUUUUGCCUCUCGCUGACAGCAUCCAAAAUAUGCAAUAAGGUAAUUAUUUCAGAUGUCAUGGGUGCAAAGCUUUUGUUCGCAAACUUCAUAGCAGGGCAGAUCACUUCUUUUCUGGUUGCAAUGCAGAUUGUUCCACCAGACUCUGCAAGCCCAUGUUUACAGACAAGCAAGAUCGCCUUUGUAGUCGUACCUAAAUGCAUGUGCUUUCAUUUAAAUUUUGAUAUAUAGACCAGCCAUUGUUUAUAUAGUGUAAAAGGAUUUGAUAAUAUGUAUGUGACUUGUUGUUGGAGAGGAUUUUUUGCUGAAUAGAUGAUUUUAAUAAAAUAUUUAUGGAUAUCUUUCAAA